This 480-nucleotide long non-coding RNA is filed under the name Gallus gallus (chicken). Lineage: Eukaryota; Metazoa; Chordata; Aves; Galliformes; Phasianidae. The record is from RNAcentral.
GAACCGCUGACGAGCCGCGGGGCGGGGAGGCGGCUCCGGAGGACAAAAGCGCGGCCGCGCCCAGCCCGCCCCUCGCCGCGCACCUGCAGCCCGCCCGGUGCAGCGGCGGCGGCGCCUCGAGGGUCCCCUCGCACCGUGCCCGCCGUGCGGUCGGGCUGGGUCGGCCGCACGGGGCGGAAGCGGCAGAGGGGCGAUGAGAGGCCCGUUCCGAGGCCCGGCUGGGGAGGUGGCGUAGAGGCUGCCGCUCCCCCCGGCGUUCAGACCAACGGAGGAGGUGAAAGCGGAAGGUGAAAGAGUUUCUUCUCUGAAGAUCAUUCUUGAACUUUGGUAAACAUGAGCUAGGCCAGCAGUCCUGUUUGUCUCCUGACCUGCAUCUUCCUUAGCUGACUGCAUCAUCAUUAUGAAUCACCUGCUCUGCUAGCAUUUCCCUGAUUAAUGAUUUAAUCUGCUUUACCAUAUUGGAACUAUUUACCACUUCUG